Molecule: ribosomal RNA, 463 nt
Filed under: uncultured bacterium
Lineage: Bacteria
Description: SSU rRNA
Rfam family: Bacterial small subunit ribosomal RNA
Source: RNAcentral
AGGACUAACGCUGGCGGCGUGCCUAACACAUGCAAGUCGAACGAGGUAGCAAUACCUAGUGGCAGACGGGUGAGUAACGCGUGGUCAACCUACCUCUUAGUGGGGGAUAACUAGCCGAAAGGUUAGCUAAUACCGCAUACGAUCGUCGCGAGGCAUCUCGUGACGAUGAAAGGAGCAAUUCGCUAAGAGAGGGGACUGCGUCCCAUUAGUUAGUUGGUGGGGUAAUGGCCUACCAAGACUCCGAUGGGUAGCUGGCUUGAGAGAGCGACCAGCCACACUGGAACUGAGACACGGUCCAGACUCCUACGGGAGGCAGCAGUGAGGAAUUUUCCGCAAUGGGCGCAAGCCUGACGGAGCGACGCCGCGUGUGGGAAGAAGGCCUUCGGGUCGUAAACCACUGUCGAAGGGGACGAUAUUGACGGUACCCUUGGAGGAGCCCGGCUAACUACGUGCCAGCAGCCGC